CAUUCUCAUUCUCACCCGCAGCGCCAUUCCUUUACUUUUCAUUCAAAUUUCUGUCUUGUUUCUUAUUUAUGCUUUUAGGAAGUUAAGAAGGAUGAAUCUUCUGUGUGGCACCUAUUACCAGCAAUCUAGGGUUGCGAGUCUUCUUCAGUCAACAGGCACAUACAUUUUUCUAUUUCAGAAGCACAGCUAGAAAGAUUCUUAUGCAUCAGCAAGUGUGAUGGUUAAUACUGAGUGUCAACUUGAUUGGAUUGAAGGAUGCAAAGCAUUGUUUCUGGGUGUGUUUGUGAGGGUGUUGCCAAAGGAGAUUAACAUUUGAGUCAGUGGAUUUGGAGAGACAGACCCACCCUCAGUCUGGGUUGGCAUAAUCUAAUCAGCUGCCAGCAUGGCUAGAAAAAAUUGCAGGAAGACGAAGGUGGAAUGAGCAGACUCGCUGAAUUUUCUGGUCUUCAUCUGUCUUCUAUACUGGAUGCCUCCUGUGCUCGAACGCUGGACUCCAAGUUCUUCAGAUUUUGGACUUUUGGACUUACACCAGUGGUUUGUCUUGGGUCUUUGGCCACAGACAGAAAGCGGCACUGCCUGUUUCCCUACAUUUGAGGUUUUGGGACUCAGACUGGCUUACUUGCUCCUCAGCUCACAGACAACCUAUUGUGGGACUUCACCUUAUGAUCAUAGAGCUGCUCACAGGGAUGUGAUAAGAGAGGAAGAGAAGCUGGGGACACCCCUCGGUAAGCUGUAAAUGGAGGGCAAGCAUCAAAGUGGGCCACUACAGAGCGUCUCUGAUGGGAGUUACAAACUGUUACCUGGGGGAACCCAGUCUUGGUACACACGACUGACCACAUGACUGACUAUUAAGAGCUACUAAAUUGAUGGAUAUUUGUGGAGUACAUAUUGCCAUGUUAAAUGGAAAUGGAAAUAUGAAGACUAUGUCAUAGCCUGUGACCUCAACGCUUACGACACUGGAAGGAUACGGUACAAAUAACUUUUUAAUACUUUUCUUUUGUUUUUAUCUUUCUCUUUCUGUCUUUCUCUCAUUCUGUCUUCUUUUCAUCACUUAUUUAUGUAUUUUGCUGAUGGUGACUACAUUCAGAAGUUAGGAAAGUUGUCAAAUCUUUAGAAAAACAACCUAAUUUGAGAAGCCUCAAAAUUAUAGAAUAUGUACAUCGUUUUUCAUAUAUGUCAUAGGUUAAUAUCAUAAACUUGUACUUAUAUAUAUAGUUGGGGAAGGGAAAGGGGAACAUCUUAUUAGUCAGGGGUCCCCAGAGAAACAGAACCAAGAGGAUAUACAUUAAGAGAGAUAUACAUGAGAACAGACUUAUGAGGGGAACUGGCUGUCUCAAUUAUAGAGGCUGAGGAGGCCCACAACAGGUCAUUUGCAAGUUGGAGAACUAGUUGGUAGCAUGGCUCAGUCCAAAGGCCUCAGAACCAAGGAAGAUGAUGGUGUAACUCUGAGGGUGCACGCCUGAGAGUGGGAGAUGUUGCUGCAAGUCCCAGAGUCCAAAACAAGGAGAACCUGAAAUAUUGAUGUACAAGGGCGGAAAAAGUGGCUUGGCUCCAGAAGAGAUGAGCAAAAAUUGACCCUUUCUCUGCUUUUUAGUUUCAACUGGGCCCCCAACUAAUUGGCUGGUGCCCACCUACAUUGAGGGUGGAUCUCCUCAUCAUUCUACUGACUCAAAUGUCAAUCUUCAUUGGAACCACCCUUACAUAAAUAGCCGGGGAAGCUUAAUCAUUCCAAUCAAAUGUCAAACCAUGAAGGUUUCCCUUUUUUAUAAAAGAAAAAUGGAUUCAAUGCCUACUGAAGCAUUAAGGAUAAUUAAUGCACAUGACCGAGAAUAAAUAAUGCUUCUCCAGGUAUCUGGGUAUCUCUUAAUUCAGUCUAGUUGGCAACCAAAAUCAGCCAUUACAAACAUUAAUUGAGUUCCUACUCUAUCCUAGGCUCUAUGAAAGGCACUUAAAUAUUUUCUUAUGCAUUCCUCAUAACAAUUAAAAUGUUUUCCAAUUGAUAAACUGAAGCUCAGUAAAUUUAAGUAACUGCUCAAAUAUUGUGAAGCUAGUAAUUGCGACAUAAACUACAAUCAUUUUUUAUUCUUUAAAAUGUAAAAAUAUAUGCAGAAGGAAAUAGCAAUGGAUUCAAAAAAACAAUCACUAUGGAAAAUCAAGUACACACAAAAGGCUGAAAUAGAAAGAAUAAAAGGCAAAAAGUCUUCAAGACAUACAUAAAACAAAUAAAAUGGCCAAAGUAACUGUUUCCUUAUUAGUACUUUUAAAUUUUAAUGGAUUAAUGCCUCCAAUCAAAAGGCAGAGAUUGGCAGAAUGAACUAAAAAAUAAAAUGAUCUAACAAUAUGCUGUCUAAAGGAGGGUCAUUUUAGAUACAAAUAAGUUGACAGUAUAAGAGCAGAAAAAGAUAUUUCACGCAGAUAGUAACAAUAAAAAGAGCUGAAUACUGACAAUAAAAAGAGCUUUAUACUAAUAUCAGAGAAGAUAUAGCUUAAGUCAAAAGGCUUACAUGUGACAAAAGGAGAUAUAUGCUGAUUAGUCAAUUUUUCAAGAUGAUAAAACAAUUGCAAGCAUAUAUACACUAAGCAACAGAGCCCCAAAGUAUGUUAAGCAAAGUAUGUUUAUUGACAGAAUAAAAAAAAUUCUACAGUAAUAUUUGAAGAUAUCAAUACCCCAAUUUCAAUAAUGGAUAGAACAUAUAGACAAAAAUAUCACCAAGAAAAUAGAGGACUUGAACAAUAUAAUAAGCCAACUAAACCUGACUCUUCACUGCCCCAACCACGUAUUUGUAUGGUAUGUGUUACAUACGCACACGUACAUACCACAUGUAUACCAUAUAUAUACCACAUAUUUAUAUGAUAUGUAUUUAUACGUGGGAAGGGCAGUGAAGAGUCAGAUAGAAAUAUGUGGGAAGGGCAGUGAAUAGUGUUGAGUACAUAGCACUCUAUCUACCCAAAGCUUGUUCAACUCACAGUCCACAGGCUGCAUGAGGCCCAGUAUGGCUUUGACUGUGAACCAACACAAACUUGUAAACUUUCUUGCAACAUUUUGAGAUUUCUUGCAAUUUUUUUUUCUUUAGCUUAUCAGUUAUCGUUGGUGGUAGUGUAUGUUAUGUACGGCCCAAGACAAUUCUUAUUCUUCUUCCAAUGUGGCAUAAGGAAGCCAAAGGAUUGGACACCCCUGCUCUACCCAACAGCAAAAUGCACAUUCUUCUUAAGUGCACAUGAAAUAUUCUUCAGGGUAGAAUACAUGUUAGGCCACAAAACAUGUUUUGAUAAACAUGGAAAUUUUUAAAUCAAGGUGUAUUAUUCAACUACAAUGGAAUAAAACUAAAAAGGGACAUAAAAAGAAAGCUAUAAAGUUUGCAUGUAUGUGACUAUUAAACGACACAUUCUUAAACAAUCAUUUGGCUAAGAAAAAAAAAAUCACAAGGGAAAUAAUCAAAUACUUAGAGAUGAAAGAAAACAAAAAUACAGCCUACCACAAAUAAGUUCACAAAUAUGUGACUAUUAAACAACACAUUUUUAAACAAUCAUUUUGUUAAGGAAAAAAAAUCACAAGGGAAAUUAUCAAAUACUUAGAGAUGAAAGAAAACAAAAAUACACCCUACCACAACUUUGGGAUGCAGUGGAAAUAGACUUCAGAAGGAAAUUUAUAGUCUACAUAUUUUUAAAAAUCUCAGAUUGCUUUUCACUUUGAUAAGAAGAUCAAGGUUCCUCGAUGUAAGUUUCAAUGUCCUUUCUUCUUUUGUAUUAAAAUUCCUCUCAGACCUUUUUUUAUUGUCAGAGAAAAAAAUGAUCUAAUACCAAUAGAAAAUCAGCUUGAGAAAUCUAGAGUAUUGGUUUUCAAAACCUUUGACUGAAAUCACAAGAAAUACAUUUUGGGCUGUGAUGUGGUAUAUCCAUAUAAACAGACACAGGCAUUCAGAAAACUGAGACAACAUAUCAUUCAGCAAUAGUCUAGCAAUGUAGGAAGUCAUGUGAUAUUUUCUAUUAAUUUCUAGUCAACUUCUUUAAACUAGAUAUUGUUCUUGACAUGUGAAAUGAACUUCAUAAUCAACAAACCUGCAGUUGGAAUACACUAAGCUUAACACUAUAUUAUCCUUGUAGCUCAGAAGUACCAUUUCCUGGUUAAAGGAAACAAAAAAGAAUAAAAUUGGUUCCAGAUCAAAGCAACCAAAAAAGAAUACAAUUAGUAUCCUAAUGUUAAGAAAAAAUUAUGCGAAAAUGAAAUAACAUGUCAUUUCAGUGUAACACUAGAGCAAUGCCUAACAGGCACACCUUGGGUUUAUUUAUUUCCCCUAUAGAAUGAUUUUUUGUUUGUCUUAGUAUUUAUUAUAGAUUAAGUCCAAUACCAUGUAAAGUUGAACACUAACUUGUAGUUUUGUUUUAUGUUUUUUGUUUGUUUGUUUGUUUGUUAACCUGUAAGUCUACCUGGGAAGAUUAAUAACAAUGAAUAGUAUGGUUUUGUUGUAACAUAUCAACAAAUUUUCUAUCUAACCUCAUAAUCUUAUUCUUGUAUUCCUUCUUUCAUGUGAUGUUUGUUUAGCCAUUCACAUUUGUCUUUUCAACCAGCUUUGUGAUGCUGCUGAUACUUUCUUCAAUAAGUUAAACAGAUCUUUAACACACAUUCAGAUCUUUAACACGACUCUCAUGUUCGUAUGAGAGUCGUCAUGCUGACUUUUGAAAAAUUGUACUUUUAAAUGUUUCAUGCAUUUCUUCAUAGAGUGUCCUUGGAUAACUCUUUAGAGUAAAAGCAAAAUUUACUGCUUAAAGAAGCCAAACAUAAAGGAAAUAUGUAUCUUAUUAAAGAGUAUCUAAAUAUGCUCUAUCAUUGUAUUUGUGAAAUUAUUCAUUUAUAUGACUUUCUGCUUCAUUAGACUUUUUUGUUUUUCAGUGAUAAUCACACUAAACACGGAUUCAUUUAUAAAGAUCUUUCAGUAUAAGAAAAACUAAUUUAUAUUUAUCACAUCAUUUUUGA
Non-coding RNA from Macaca mulatta (Rhesus monkey), 4975 nucleotides. The record is from RefSeq and is a predicted model, not a curated record. Lineage: Eukaryota; Metazoa; Chordata; Mammalia; Primates; Cercopithecidae.